UAUACUUGCACUUCACGUAGUUAGCACGAAGGUAAUAACAGAAGAUUCAAGUCAAACAUAAAGGCCAGUAGUAGUAAAUACGAAGCAACCGUCCCAACUGUCCCCAACACACAAAAAUAAGCAUUUCUGCAUGCACAUCAUAAAAAAUAAAAAGGGCAGCCGGGUGAACUAAGCUCCCGCUAUGCACGGGGUCCGGGGAAGAGCUGGACCAUAAAGGUCUAUUGUAUAGAGUCUUACCCUGCAUUUCUGCAAGAGGCAAUCCGUGACUUCCUGGUGACAUGACAACAGUUUUACCAGUUACGCCAAAGCACAUCGUGAAAGAAAAAAUGAUUUUGCAUUUAGUUCUGAGAGUCAUAAACCUCCCCCUUUUUUCUCUUGGGAACCGUGUUUUCUGCUGAGAAACUUGAUACUACUAUUACCAGCUGCAAAUGGAGCUAAGUAUUAAUGAAGGAAUGCAGCAGCUCAGCAUUGUUAAGAGAGGUAGCAUCAAAUGUAAACACGGCAUCAAUGGCACAGAGCUCCGCCCAAACGGACCAAUCAUUUGUUAAAUCACAGCUCAUCCAUGGCUGCAACCUGCAGCCAUGCAUGAUUACUAUAGCAGUUACUCAUGACGUUGUUUAUUUUCUCAACUAAUAACUUCCUUUCAAUUUUUGUGUGGCGCUGACUCUUUUAUCUUUGUUUUAAAUGUUUUCCUUAGGUUGAAAUAUACUCUUUUCCUGUUUUACAUAUUAGCCGUUUUGCCCUUAUUUCUUACUCCCUCCGGUCCAUAAUAAGUGAUCAAUUUGCCUUUUUAUUUUUGUCCAAAAUAAGUGUCUAUUUAUAUAAUCAAGAAAAAAGUUAAUUUGUUUUAUAAAAUUACCCUUAUGUACAUAUCCCUAAAAAGUUUUCUUACUUCUCACAUUAAAUAUUUAAUUAAGAGUAGUUUAGUCAUACUAGAUGUUUUGGUAUAAAAUUUAUAUUUUUUUAAUGGGCGUGUCAAAAGUAAAUUGGUCACUUAUGUGGACCGGAGGGAGUAAUUGAAUUUGUUCCAUAUAACUUGUCAAUUUUAAGUAAUAGCCACUGAUAUAUGAAUCUACUUAUAUAUCUUCUCAAGAAUUUUUCCAGAAAUACAUUGAUAUGUAACUUCUCAAAUAACAAUGAAGAACUAGCAAAAUUAAGCAAAUAAUAUUAAAAAAAAAAUGACUGACUAAUAUUUAAAUUCCUAAUGAGGUGAAAAAACCAUCAAAUCAAUAAACCAACCUGAAAUAUAGUACUCUCUCUGGUUCACAAUAAGUGUCCAAUUUGCCUUUUCAUUUUGGUUCAAAAUAAGUGUCCAGUUAUGUAAUCAAGAAAGAAUUCAAUUUGUUUUUACAAAAUAAACCCUGUGUACAUACCCCUAAAAAGUUUUCUUACUCCUCACAUUAAAUGUUAAAUUAGGGGUAGUUUAGUCAUAAUAGGUAUUUUUGUAUAGAAUUUAGUAUUUUCUUAAUGGGCGUGCUAAAAACAAAUUGGACACUUAUUGUGAACCGGAGGGAAUAAUAUAAUUCCUAUAUACUCACUCAUCAAUUAUUACUCAUUUACUGCAUAAAACAACUUACAGGUGAAUUCAUUUACUCCUCUCUAACCACCGCAUUUCCCUCCUUUAUAUUAAACCCUUUGCCACCUUUUCAUUCCUUCUCACUUCAAGCUAGUUACAUUAUUAUUAUUUACACACACUAACCAAAGUAAAUAGAGAAAAUCCAUCUAUAUUGAGGAAAUGGCUAGUAAGUUUAGGCUAUUUUCUUUGGGUUUUCUGUUGUUUGUUGUAUUGGCUAAUAAUGCAAUAUGUCAAGAAGAAGAUGGAACGAGGAAUGCUUUGGUACCAGCCAUGUUUAUAUUUGGUGACUCUUUGAUUGACAAUGGAAACAACAAUAAUUUGCCUUCUUUUGCAAAGGCUAAUUAUUUUCCUUAUGGCAUUGAUUUUAAUGGUGGCCCUACUGGUCGUUUCUCCAAUGGUUACACCAUGGUUGAUGUAAUUGGUAAUAUACACAAAUUAUCCACUUAUUUAUAUUUGUUUUUUUCUCCAAAUACUUCAUUUUCUAACCCCUUGUGCAUGGAAUUUAUUUCAUGGCAUCCCUUAUUCUUGUCGAUUUUUCCUGCUGAAGUUACCUCUAGACUUUCUAUUUUUCUCUAGGUAGAAUAUUAAGAGCAAGUAUCAUUAGUUAGAAUGAUUAAAUAAGAUAGUAGAGUAUUAGCAUACACAAUAAUCAAGCCAAAUAUAAUGUGAUACUUUCAAACUCAGAUUUAGGUAUAACAAUAUUUUAGACUCUAGUAUAUGUGGACUUAUUCUCAAAAUUUUUUCUAUAUUAACCCGAAUAUCUGUCCACCCAUCCACUUAAAUUAAAAGUAGCUCGUUGAGGUAUAAUAUAUGCAUAAUUUGUGUAUUAUAGGUAUAUAUUUGUGUAUAAACAAUAUAUAGUCUGUAUAAGGCUAGAAAAUGUAGAUAAUAAAUGUGACCGACUAUUUGUGUAAUGAUCCCUAAUUUUCCCGCCAAGAAACUUCUCAUAACUAGGUAAAAUAUUUAAACAAGGAUAAAAGCAACCAUUUAUUUCAUUUUCUAAAAAAAUAGAUAAAAUUAGAAAAGUGGGUGAAUUAAUAUACAUAUUUUAUACACUUUUUAGCUAGCGAAUACAAUUAAUUUCACCCGACCAGUCAUUUUCGUAUUUUGCCCUUAGUUAUUGACUCAUUAUUACUUGCAGCUCAAUUGCUUGGACUACCCCUUAUUCCACCAUACACUGAGGCUUCUGGAGACCAAAUGCGAUUUGGAAUAAACUAUGCCUCAGCUGCUGCUGGGAUUCUUGAUAUUACUGGCAGAAACUUUGUGAGUUUUCUUUUUUAUUUAUUUUUAUUUUUUGAAAUAUCUAAUUCACCCGUCAGACAAGAGGGGUUGCUCUGAUGGUAAGCAACCCCCACUUCCAACCGAGAGGUUGUGAGUUCGAGUCUCCCCAAGAGCAAGGUGGGAAGUUCUUGGAGGGAAGGAUGCUGAGGGUCUAUUUGGAAACAGAUACUGGGUUGUUGUUGUUGUUGUUGUAUCUAAUUCACCCCUCCCCCUUCCCCCAAAACUUGCAUUNNNNNNNNNNNNNNNNNNNNNNAUUGCAUUGCUAAUACCAUGUUUUCUUAUGCAUUAGUUAUGCAUAGGAUAAUACCAAAUAGGAUGUAUAACUAAUGCUUACAUAACUAAUGCAUACGAUCAAAAUGUCUACCAAACAAUGUAUUAUUAAUACACAAAGCUAAUGCAUGUAUUAGCUUAUCUAAUGCAUCCUACCAAACGACCCCUUGUGCAAAGAACUAUCAAUGUAAAUAUAGCCUGCUAUGGUAGGGGUUUUUAACUUAUUUUUAGGCUACUAAUUUUACUUAUUAUGAACAAUUACUUAUAAUUAUUUUUUCCUGAUCUGAUAGUGUAGUUUUUUUUUUGUACUGUUAGUGUAUAGAAAAUUUAGGAAUUUGAUGAAUUGAAUACAACAACAACAACCCAGUAUAAUCCUACUUAGUGGGGUCUGGGGAGGGUAGUGUGUACGUAGACCUUACCCCUACCUUGAGGUAGAGAGGCUCUUCCCACCUUGCUCUUGGGGAGACUCGAACUCACAACCUCUUGGUUGGAAGUGGAGGUUGCUUACCAUCAUAGCAACCCAUUUGUCUAAUUUGAUGAAUUGAAUGAUGAAUUGAAUUUGAUGAAUUGAAUGAUGCAUCAAAUUCAUAUAGAACCCAAUGGAAGACAAUUUAAAUGCCGUAACAAUAAAUCCAUGAACAAACUAAAUAACAAAGGUAAAUGAAGAGCAUUUAGAUCUAGGAUUUAAAUUUUAUGGGCUUAACUUAUCAAAUUUUUAGCAUUGAAUCCAUUGUAUUUUUAAAGUUAUAGGUUUAUAUUGCUAUAUACUGCAAUAUUAUUGAAUUUUUACACAUAAAUUUAUGCUCUGCGCCAAAAGUACUGAGUUUAGUUGAAUCCGGUACCAAUAACUUGCGUCCGCCAUCUCUAUACCACCUAUCCAAUUGCUGUUACUUUUUACAUUUUAAAGUGUCACAUUAGUGUCUUUUAAUAGAAUCUUGCAUGUAAUUAAUUGGACAUUUUUAUUAAUAAUGUUAUACAGGUUGGACGUAUUCCAUUCAAUCAGCAAAUCACUAAUUUUGAGAGCACAGUUAACCAAAUCAGAAGCAAUCUUGGAGUAUCAGAUGUAGGAGAGGCAUUAGCCAAAUCUAUUUUCUUUGUUGGAAUGGGAAGCAAUGACUAUCUUAAUAAUUACCUUAUGCCUAAUUAUAAUACAAAGAAUCAAUAUAAUGCUCAACAAUUUGCCAGUCUCUUGGUUCAGCAGUAUAAUCAACAACUUAUGGUAAGACUCUUUUUUUUUUUUUUUUUUUAAUUUUUUAUUAUCUCUUUUGUAAUUUUCCAAAUUAGUGUAUUUUCUAUUUUUCUCUAAUAUAAUAUACAGUCAGACCUCUCUAUAACAACAUCUUUAUAUAAUAGAAAUUCACUAUAAAAACCGAGUUAUUCUUGGAAACGAAUAAAAUAUUUCGGAACAAACGAGGUUGUUACAGAGAGGUUUGAAUGUAUAUACUUUUAUAGUAGAGGGUUUUUGGUGAAAAGAAAGAAAUUAUAUUUUCUUUUUCCUUUUUAUUUUCUUUUUUUCUUUGGUGCCUGGCAAGUGGAAAACUAUUUACCUUUUCCUCUUUUAUUGGGAAACAAUUUUUUAUGUAGCAAUUGAUCUAGCUGGUUCCUCUCAUUUUCAGCACAAUAAAUAUUAGAAUAAUUAAAUUCUUUUGAAAUAUUUUAUUUAUUUAAAUGACGUACACACUAUCCUCCCCAGACCCCAUUUAUGGGAAUAAACUGGGUUUGUUGUUGUAGUUUAUUAUUUGAUAUUUUGUACCACAUUGAAUAAAUAACAAAUUCCUUUUUUUUCAACACUGUAUUUGUUUUAUACAGGAAGAGAAAACCUUAAAAUAAACCUUUUCUGCUAGAUUGUUUCUGUUAAAAAUCCUUUAGUGACAUCAUUUGUGGAAAAUUCUAUGUUUUCUUUUCUUUUUUAAAAAAAUAUUCCAUCUUCAUCUAUCAGUUUGAGGUGAUUUCCUUCACUUUAAAUAAGACAACAUAGAUUUGAGUUAAGCCAUUUUUUUCCUAGGACUUUACUCUAAACUAGUACUUUUCAUUUAAUUUAUCAACAUGUUUUUCCUUCUAUUUUUUUCCCUUUCUUAAUUCAAUUUAUGAAAAUUGCAGAGAUUAUAUAAUCUUGGAGCUAGAAAAUUUGUGAUUGGUGGAGUUGGACUAAUGGGGUGUAUUCCAAGUAUUCUUGCACAAAGUCAAAAUGGUGAAUGUUCAGAGGAAGUGAAUCAACUUGUUCUUCCAUUCCAUAACAAUGUUAGAUCAAUGCUUAACAAUUUUAAUACCAAUCUUCCUGGUUCCAAAUUUGUUUACAUUGACAUCAGGAAUAUGUUCCAAGAUCUCCUUACCAAUUACAGACAAUAUGGUAAGUUAAUCUUAUUCCAGAAAAGUUCUUAUUUAUUUUAUUCAAUAUUUUAUUUUACUCGGAUCCAUUAUUUGCUACUUGGCUGCUUUAUCUUAUCUCUAUUGUUCCUUGAGCUGAGGAUCUAUCGGAUCAUCCUCUCUACCUUUAUAAGACCCCAUUUAUGAGAUUACACUGAGUUUUUUUUUGUUUUGUUUUUGUUAUUGUUGUUGUUGUAUUUCUCUUGGACAAAGAAAGAGACAUUUGAAAAGUUCAUGUUCUUUACAAUAAGUUAAAUUUAAAAUAUAUUAAUAGUAUAAAAAUUCUUUAAACUGAUAAUGUAUAAAAGUUAAAUCCAUUUUUAGUUACUCUUUAACUGAAAAGCGCAACCCAGUACACAAGGCAUUUCACGUUCACGCAAGGUUCGAGAAGUGCCGCACCCCAAGGGGAGUGAUGUACACGGCCUAUUUUAAUGCAAACAUUAGUGACUGCUACCAUGGCUCCAACCUGUGACCUAUAAGUCACACGGAAACAACUUUUACCGUUACUCCAAUGGUCCCCUUCUAAUUACCCUUUAACCAUCCACCCCUUUUUCUUGCUUUCCCUUUCUUUUCUUUUUCUUUCCUUCUAUUACUGUUAUUAUUAAUGCUCUCCCCUACUACAGUCCUUUUUGUCUAAAUAAAGAUUUCUUGGAAUUUUGUAUUAAAUCCUUGGAAGAAAAAGCUAACAUUCUGUAUUCAAUAUUGUUAAUGAUGUAACAGGAUUUAGUGAAAUAAAUAAUGGAUGCUGUGGAGUAGGGAGAAAUAGAGGGCAAAUAACAUGUCUACCAUUCCAAACACCAUGUCAAAAUAGGGAACAAUUCAUAUUUUGGGAUGCAUUUCAUCCAACUGAGGCAGUUAACAUCUUGUUUGGAAGGAAGGCUUUCAAUGGUGGUCCUGAUGUUGUUUAUCCCAUCAAUAUUCAGCAACUUGCCACUUUUUGAGUUUUUUUUUUUCUAUGGAAAAUUAUGGAAGAAAUUAACUUGAAUUUCUUUAGCUUCUCAUUUAUUUGAAGUGAACUUAGUUUUCUUUUUUCUAGUUAAUUUUUUUCUUUUGGGUAUUUUGCUAUAUUUAGUAGAGAAUAUAAUCUUGUGGAGAACCAUGAAGCAGUGGCUGAUAUAUUAGGAAUGCGUUAGAAUAUACAAUUUUACUGCAAAUUUCUUAAGAUCCACAAUGCCUCAAAAGAUUAAAAAAAAAAUAUGAUUUAAAUAUUAUAUUUAUUAUUCUUUUUCUGAUGAAGAGAUUUACUUAUGAAUUGGAAAAAAAAGGUUGUUGCAAGUACUUGAGUGGUGCAGGCAGGGAGAUAAAGAUAGGGAUCAAAAAUCAUAAGCCAUUAUUAUUUUUUAACAUUAUUUAUAGUUCUUCAAUAAUUGUUUAAUUAAUUACUACUCCGUCUAGGUCUGUUACGACCCAAACCGAAGGGCCGCGACGGGCACCCGGUGCCUUAAUCGAGUACCAACAUAACAUAUAUUUCUUAUUAUACUAUCUUGAGUAAAUAAGCCAGAAACCCGUCAUGAGAUAACAAGAAUAAAACGUAAGGGAAUACUCAACAUAUGACGACCCAACAUGAUAUACAAACUUAUACAUGAGACAUACGGGCCUAGAAGGCCGACAUGACCCUUUGUAAACUCAACACAUAGGCCAACAAGGCCAUACAAGUAUCCAUAAACCCGACAUCUGUCUACAAGCCUCUAAGAGUACAUAAAAUCAUAAAGGUCGGGUCAGGGCCCGCCAUACCAAUCAAUACAUAUCCAAAACAUACCGACCAAAUAGGUAAUUUUGGAGCAAGUGGAUUGCACCAACACCUCCGCUGAGCUAAUAGCCUACUAGGAAGACUGUCAACCUUUAUUUGAAAACAUACCCGGCCAUCAUAAGGCUCGGUAGAAUCGUACCCGACCACGUGGAGCUCGGUAAAUCCAACUGAUCAGUGGUUGCACAAUAGGUGUCAUACCCGGCCUACUAUAGCGCGGCUCGGUAGAGUAAAAUAGAUACUAUAUAUAAUGCAUGCUAGACUCAUGGAAUCACGUUCUAAACCUUUUGGAGUGACUUAAGGUCGUUGCACCUUCGAUUAACAUUAUGGACAUUAUACCAUCAAUAUGAGCUUCUAUAGGAUUCAAGGAUCAUACAUACUUGCUUAAAAUAACUUUAUAAGGAAAGAAUAACAUGAGCAACCUUAGUUUCUAGGAGUAGAUCCGUUAUGAAAUAGCGUAUUCAUUUCACUUUAGAUCAUGCCAAAAGAAAGAGGGAAGUACCUUAACAUACCUUAACCAUGGUGAGUCCUUAAUACCUCCCAAGCUACUCUUCAGACAACUCAACUCAAUCUACCAUUGCAUAAGGAGAUUCAAAUUAGUGUUGAAUAAAGGCUAAGUCUGCAAUUUAAACUUGUAGCUCGUUUAUAUAAAUUCGGGCAGCAUCU
Molecule: long non-coding RNA, 7907 nt
Filed under: Nicotiana tabacum (common tobacco)
Lineage: Eukaryota; Viridiplantae; Streptophyta; Magnoliopsida; Solanales; Solanaceae
Description: long non-coding RNA (NTAB_LNC007847)
Source: RNAcentral